This 743-nucleotide long non-coding RNA is filed under the name Homo sapiens (human). RNAcentral's name for it is "non-protein coding lnc-TIGD1-1:2". Lineage: Eukaryota; Metazoa; Chordata; Mammalia; Primates; Hominidae. The record is from RNAcentral.
GUGAUACCAGCGACAGAACUCUGCAAACAUCUCUGCUUCGCAGCUGGCAUCCUGUUGGAUUUUUCCAGUAGAGGGAAGCUUCCAUGCUGCAGGAAGAAGGGGCGUGCUCCUUCCCGUUCCUGUCAGCACUGCUGCAGCAGUUUGCUCUCACAGCUGCAUGUGAUCCCAGCUGCCAUUUCUGACCUGCUCAGAACCAGCUUCAUGAUGGGCUCAAAGACCCAGGACCAGGUGCUCUUGUGACUUCUCUGACUUCAGUCCUUCUGGAGUCAGAUCACCCAGCUUCUCUGAUGAGUGACUGGUCAUUUUUAAAGCAUGCCUGCAGCAGUCUUCAAGAGGUUUCUGCCUGGGCAUCACAAUCAGCACACAUUUGCUCAUACACAUACCAGCUCUGGCAUGUACACGUGGCCACGGUACCCUUCGUACAACACGGGAAGAGAACAACAGGACGCCCAAGAGGCAUCUGGACAGCACACAGCAAACAGAAAGGCUGAACGCCCCCCCAUGGAACCCCAUUAAAAAACAAUGUUUGUCUAUUACAAAGUCACGUUUUCCGUUUUUCCGCUUUAUAAAGUCAGCGAUGCUGGAGGGUGUCUAGCGGAAUCCGUCCUCCAGGAAUGAGUGCAAAAGGAGAGCGCACGGCUCAGGGACGUCCCUUCAGUGAGCAAUGGAAGGACUGGCUGGAGGCCUCCCAUCCAUUUCGGACAAACACACACAUACAGAAAAGGAUUAUUGCCAGCUUGUGU